This 416-nucleotide ribosomal RNA is filed under the name uncultured bacterium. RNAcentral describes it as "bacterial SSU rRNA". It matches the Rfam family "Bacterial small subunit ribosomal RNA", at positions 107 to 518 of the family's 1533-position model. The record is from RNAcentral.
UGCGUAACGCGUGAGCAACAUGCCCGUAUCAGGGGGAUAAUCCAUGGAAACGUGGUCUAAUACCCCAUAGUAAUUAUGUAAAGGCAUCUUAUAUAAUUUAAAGCUUUGGUGGAUACGGAUUGGCUCGCGUGACAUUAGCUGGAUGGUAAGGUAACGGCUUACCAUGGCUACGAUGUCUAGGGGUUCUGAGAGGAAGGUCCCCCACACUGGAACUGAGACACGGUCCAGACUCCUACGGGAGGCAGCAGUGAGGAAUAUUGGACAAUGGAUGGAAAUCUGAUCCAGCCAUGCCGCGUGCAGGGAAAGACGGCCCUAUGGGUUGUAAACUGCUUUUGUAUGGGAGCAAUAAGGGCUACGUGUAGUCCGAUGAGAGUACCAUACGAAUAAGCACCGGCUAACUCCGUGCCAGCCGCUGC